This is a non-coding RNA of Aedes albopictus (Asian tiger mosquito), 118 nucleotides long. The record is from Rfam. NCBI's taxonomy places the organism in Eukaryota, Metazoa, Arthropoda, Insecta, Diptera, Culicidae.
UGCCCAGCAACUCAUAUCCCUACCUCCUCGUGGUACCGACCGGAAACUAUGAGCAACAUUAGGGAAGAUCGGGUAACCAACCCCGGUGGGAACUUUGGUCAUAGGCUGACUGGGAAGG